AAGGAAUAUUGGUCAAUGGACGCAAGUCUGAACCAGCCAUGCCGCGUGAAGGAUGAAGGUCCUCUGGAUUGUAAACUUCUUUUAUCUGGGACGAAAACGGGAUUUUUAUCUCAAUUGACGGUACCGGAGGAAUAAGCACCGGCUAACUCCGUGCCAGCAGCCGCGGUAAUACGGAGGGUGCGAGCGUUAUCCGGAUUUACUGGGUUUAAAGGGUGCGUAGGUGGGCUUAUAAGUCAGUGGUGAAAUCUCUCAGCUUAACUGAGAAACUGCCAUUGAUACUGCAGACCUAGAGUAUAGAGGACGUUGGCGGAAUAUGACAUGUAGUGGUGAAAUACUUAGAUAUGUCAUAGAACACCGAUUGCGAAGGCAGCUAACGAAACUAUAACUGACGCUGAGGCACGAAAGUGCGGGGAUCAAACA
This 420-nucleotide ribosomal RNA is filed under the name uncultured bacterium. RNAcentral's name for it is "bacterial SSU rRNA". It matches the Rfam family "Bacterial small subunit ribosomal RNA", at positions 356 to 774 of the family's 1533-position model. The record is from RNAcentral.